AGAGUUUGAUCAUGGCUCAGAAUGAACGCUGGCGGCGUGCUUAACACAUGCAAGUCGUACGAGAAAGCCGAAUUUCGGUUUGGCGAGUAAAGUGGCGCACGGGUGAGUAACGCGUAGGCAACCUGCCCUUGUGUUUGGGAUAACAGAGCGAAAGUUCUGCUAAUACCGGAUACGAUGCGGUUUCGAGAGGAAUCGUAUGAAAGUCAGCCGCUCGAAGAAGCUGGCGCACGAGGAGGGGCUUGCGUCCUAUCAGCUAGUUGGUAGGGUAACGGCCUACCAAGGCGACGACGGGUAGCUGGUCUGAGAGGAUGAUCAGCCACACUGGCACUGGAACACGGGCCAGACUCCUACGGGAGGCAGCAGUGAGGAAUUUUGCGCAAUGGGAGCAAUCCUGACGCAGCAACGCCGCGUGGGUGAUGAAGGCCUUCGGGUCGUAAAGCCCUGUCAGGUGGGAAGAAUGCUCUGAUGAUGAAUAAGCAUCAGGGGUGACGGUACCACCAGAGGAAGCACCGGCUAACUCCGUGCCAGCAGCCGCGGUAAUACGUAUGGGGCAAGCGUUAUCCGGAUUCAUUGGGCGUAAAGAGCGCGUAGGCGGAUUGUUAAGCGAGAUGUGAAAACCGGGGGCUCAACCCGCGGCCUGCAUCUCGAACUGGCAGUCUUGAGUCUGGUAGAGGAAAGUGGAAUUCCCAGUGUAGCGGUGAAAUGCGCAGAUAUUGGGAGGAACACCAGUGGCGAAGGCGGCUUUCUGGGCCACGACUGACGCUGAGGCGCGAAAGCUAGGGGAGCAAACAGGAUUAGAUACCCUGGUAGUCC
Molecule: ribosomal RNA, 813 nt
Filed under: uncultured bacterium
Lineage: Bacteria
Description: bacterial SSU rRNA
Rfam family: Bacterial small subunit ribosomal RNA
Source: RNAcentral